Molecule: ribosomal RNA, 789 nt
Filed under: uncultured archaeon
Lineage: Archaea
Description: bacterial SSU rRNA
Rfam family: Archaeal small subunit ribosomal RNA
Source: RNAcentral
ACGGCUCAGUAACACGUAGUCAACCUAACUCGUGGACGUGGAUAACCUCGGGAAACUGAGAAUAAACCACGAUAGAUCAUAGUGCCUGGAAUGGCUUAUGGUCCAAACAGUUUACUGCCAUGGGAUGGGACUGCGGCCUAUCAGCUUGUUGGUGAGGUAAUGGCCCACCAAGGCGAUUACAGGUACGGGCUCUGAGAGGAGAAGCCCGGAGAUGGGUACUGAGACACGGACCCAGGCCCUAUGGGGCGCAGCAGGCGAGAAACCUUAGCAAUGUGCGAAAGCACGACUGGGUCAGUCCGAGUGAUUCCUGAUAAAGGAGUCUUUUGCUUGUCCUAAAAGCACAGGUGAAUAAGGGGUGGGCAAGUCUGGUGUCAGCCGCCGCGGUAAUACCAGCACCUCGAGUGGUCAGGACGUUUAUUGGGCCUAAAGCAUCCGUAGCCGGCUUUGCAAGUCUUCGGUUAAAUCCACCUGCUCAACAGAUGGGCCGCUGGAGAUACUACAGAGCUAGGGAGUGGGAGAGGCAGACGGUAUUCAGUGGGUAGGGGUAAAAUCCUCUGAUCCAUUGAGGACCACCAGUGGCGAAGGCGGUCUGCCAGAACACGUUCGACGGUGAGGGAUGAAAGCUGGGGGAGCAAACCGGAUUAGAUACCCGGGUAGUCCCAGCUGUAAACGAUGCAAACUCGGUGAUGCAUUGGCUUAUGGCCAAUGCAGUGCCGCAGGGAAGCCGUUAAGUUCGCCGCCUGGGAAGUACGGACGCAAGUCUGAAACUUAAAGGAAUUGGCGGGGGAG